Molecule: ribosomal RNA, 659 nt
Filed under: Salmonella enterica
Lineage: Bacteria; Pseudomonadati; Pseudomonadota; Gammaproteobacteria; Enterobacterales; Enterobacteriaceae
Description: partial 23S ribosomal RNA
Rfam family: Bacterial large subunit ribosomal RNA
Source: RNAcentral
AGACCCGAAACCCGGUGAUCUAGCCAUGGGCAGGUUGAAGGUUGGGUAACACUAACUGGAGGACCGAACCGACUAAUGUUGAAAAAUUAGCGGAUGACCUGUGGCUGGGGGUGAAAGGCCAAUCAAACCGGGAGAUAGCUGGUUCUCCCCGAAAGCUAUUUAGGUAGCGCCUCGUGAAUUCAUCUCCGGGGGUAGAGCACUGUUUCGGCUAGGGGGCCAUCCCGGCUUACCAACCCGAUGCAAACUGCGAAUACCGGAGAAUGUUAUCACGGGAGACACACGGCGGGUGCUAACGUCCGUCGUGAAGAGGGAAACAACCCAGACCGCCAGCUAAGGUCCCAAAGUCAUGGUUAAGUGGGAAACGAUGUGGGAAGGCCCAGACAGCCAGGAUGUUGGCUUAGAAGCAGCCAUCAUUUAAAGAAAGCGUAAUAGCUCACUGGUCGAGUCGGCCUGCGCGGAAGAUGUAACGGGGCUAAACCAUGCACCGAAGCUGCGGCAGCGAACGUAUCACCCAAGACAACUUUACGGAGUUGACGAUUGACGGAGCGAAGCGACGUCAAAGCGUUCAUUAAAGUCGAGUUGGCUUAGGGAUACGUUCGUUGGGUAGGGGAGCGUUCUGUAAGCCUGUGAAGGUGGCCUGUGAGGGUUGCUGGAGGUAU